GACGAACGCUGGCGGCGUGCUUAACACAUGCAAGUCGAACGGAAAGGCCCUUCGGGGUACUCGAGUGGCGAACGGGUGAGUAACACGUGGGUGAUCUGCCCUGCACUCUGGGAUAAGCCUGGGAAACUGGGUCUAAUACCGGAUAGGACCACACACUUCAUGGUGAGUGGUGCAAAGCUUUUGCGGUGUGGGAUGAGCCCGCGGCCUAUCAGCUUGUUGGUGGGGUAAUGGCCCACCAAGGCGACGACGGGUAGCCGGCCUGAGAGGGUGACCGGCCACACUGGGACUGAGAUACGGCCCAGACUCCUACGGGAGGCAGCAGUGGGGAAUAUUGCACAAUGGGCGCAAGCCUGAUGCAGCGACGCCGCGUGAGGGAUGACGGCCUUCGGGUUGUAAACCUCUUUCAGUAGGGACGAAGCGAAAGUGACGGUACCUACAGAAGAAGGACCGGCCAACUACGUGCCAGCAGCCGCGGUAAUACGUAGGGUCCGAGCGUUGUCCGGAAUUACUGGGCGUAAAGAGCUCGUAGGUGGUUUGUCGCGUUGUUCGUGAAAACUCACAGCUUAACUGUGGGCGUGCGGGCGAUACGGGCAGACUAGAGUACUGCAGGGGAGACUGGAAUUCCUGGUGUAGCGGUGGAAUGCGCAGAUAUCAGGAGGAACACCGGUGGCGAAGGCGGGUCUCUGGGCAGUAACUGACGCUGAGGAGCGAAAGCGUGGGUAGCGAACAGGAUUAGAUACCCUGGUAGUCCACGCCGUAAACGGUGGGUACUAGGUGUGGGUUUCCUUCCUUGGGAUCCGUGCCGUAGCUAACGCAUUAAGUACCCCGCCUGGGGAGUACGGUCGCAAGACUAAAACUCAAAGGAAUUGACGGGGGCCCGCACAAGCGGCGGAGCAUGUGGAUUAAUUCGAUGCAACGCGAAGAACCUUACCUGGGUUUGACAUGCACAGGACGUACCUAGAGAUAGGUAUUCCCUUGUGGCCUGUGUGCAGGUGGUGCAUGGCUGUCGUCAGCUCGUGUCGUGAGAUGUUGGGUUAAGUCCCGCAACGAGCGCAACCCUUGUCCUAUGUUGCCAGCGGGUAAUGCCGGGGACUCGUAGGAGACUGCCGGGGUCAACUCGGAGGAAGGUGGGGAUGACGUCAAGUCAUCAUGCCCCUUAUGUCCAGGGCUUCACACAUGCUACAAUGGCCAGUACAGAGGGCUGCGAAGCCGCAAGGUGGAGCGAAUCCCUUAAAGCUGGUCUCAGUUCGGAUUGGGGUCUGCAACUCGACCCCAUGAAGUCGGAGUCGCUAGUAAUCGCAGAUCAGCAACGCUGCGGUGAAUACGUUCCCGGGCCU
Molecule: ribosomal RNA, 1337 nt
Filed under: uncultured bacterium
Lineage: Bacteria
Also listed under: 1 other name
Description: bacterial SSU rRNA
Rfam family: Bacterial small subunit ribosomal RNA
Source: RNAcentral